Molecule: ribosomal RNA, 399 nt
Filed under: uncultured bacterium
Lineage: Bacteria
Description: bacterial SSU rRNA
Rfam family: Bacterial small subunit ribosomal RNA
Source: RNAcentral
GACGAACGCUGGCGGCGUGCUUAACACAUGCAAGUCGAGCGGUAAGGCCCUUUCGGGGGUACACGAGCGGCGAACGGGUGAGUAACACGUGGGUGACCUGCCCUCAGCUCUGGGAUAAGCCUGGGAAACCGGGUCUAAUACUGGAUAUGACUCCAUGACGCAUGUUGUGGGGUGGAAAGCCUUGUGCGGCUGAGGAUGGGCCCGCGGCCUAUCAGCUUGUUGGUGGGGGAUGGCCUACCAAGGCGACGACGGGUAGCCGGCCUGAGAGGGCGACCGGCCACACUGGGACUGAGACACGGCCCAGACUCCUACGGGAGGCAGCAGUGGGGAAUCUUGCGCAAUGGGCGAAAGCCUGACGCAGCGACGCCGCGUGAGGGAUGACGGCCUGGUGUAACGUAC